AUACAGAGGGUGCGAGCGUUAAUCGGAAUUACUGGGCGUAAAGCGCGCGUAGGCGGCUUGGUCAAUCGGAUGUGAAAGCCCCGGGCUCAACCUGGGAAUGGCAUUCGAUACUGCCAGGCUAGAGUAUGGGAGAGGGAAGUGGAAUUUCCGGUGUAGCGGUGAAAUGCGUAGAUAUCGGAAGGAACACCAGUGGCGAAGGCGACUUCCUGGCCCAAUACUGACGCUGAGGUGCGAAAGCGUGGGGAGCGAACAGGAUUAGAAACCCUAGUAGUCC
This 274-nucleotide ribosomal RNA is filed under the name uncultured bacterium. Its description in RNAcentral is "partial 16S ribosomal RNA". It matches the Rfam family "Bacterial small subunit ribosomal RNA", at positions 523 to 796 of the family's 1533-position model. The record is from RNAcentral.